This 284-nucleotide ribosomal RNA is filed under the name Dorea longicatena. RNAcentral describes it as "partial 16S ribosomal RNA". It matches the Rfam family "Bacterial small subunit ribosomal RNA", at positions 493 to 776 of the family's 1533-position model. The record is from RNAcentral. Lineage: Bacteria; Bacillati; Bacillota; Clostridia; Lachnospirales; Lachnospiraceae.
UCUUUUCCUUUUUUUUCAGCCGCCGCGGUAAUACGUAGGGGGCAAGCGUUAUCCGGAUUUACUGGGUGUAAAGGGAGCGUAGACGGCACGGCAAGCCAGAUGUGAAAGCCCGGGGCUCAACCCCGGGACUGCAUUUGGAACUGCUGAGCUAGAGUGUCGGAGAGGCAAGUGGAAUUCCUAGUGUAGCGGUGAAAUGCGUAGAUAUUAGGAGGAACACCAGUGGCGAAGGCGGCUUGCUGGACGAUGACUGACGUUGAGGCUCGAAAGCGUGGGGAGCAAACAGG